This 4610-nucleotide long non-coding RNA is filed under the name Sus scrofa (pig). Its description in RNAcentral is "lncRNA (ENSSSCG00000063160.1)". The record is from RNAcentral. Lineage: Eukaryota; Metazoa; Chordata; Mammalia; Artiodactyla; Suidae.
ACCGCAAUAGCUUAUGAAUGGCAGAUCCAGAAUCAUUACUGACUAUGUGACACUGAGAUUCAUGCUCUAAAGCACAACCUCCCCAGUGAUGGAGACUGACAGAGAGUCUAUCAGAACAUCAGAGCCUCUGAUUUGCAUUUCUUAGGCUGAUGCCUCCCCAAUUGUACCCCGAAAAAAAUGGCUAUAAAAGAAAAAUUCUAAAACUUGUCAGAAUUUAAGACCAUACUUCUAUGAUGCAAUGGAACACCUCCUUUUGAAUCAGCUCAAUGUGUUUUCUAGUCUGCCAUUGAAAUCACUUUCUGUCAAUACCUUUGCAAUAAUAAGAAAAACUAGUAUCAUGCUAACUCAAAUUCAGCUCUCUUUCUCAGCUGUACAAACCCUCCCUACUAUCCAGUGAAGUUCAAGCCUCAGACAAGGACAGUAUAAGCAAACUCAUUAACUAAGUUUACCUAGUAUUUAAUUCCAAAGCACUAAAUAUAUUCUGCUAGGAUAAAUUAGAAGCAAACCCAUCUUGGUAGAUUUAUCUGGGUUUAAAGUAUUAAGCAAACUUUUUCAGCUAUCACUUGCCUUUACUACUCUCAGUUCAAUAACAUUCAAGGCCAAAGCUUAGAACUGUUCUUCUACUUUCGCCCUAAAUCUGAAACAGAGCAAUUUACUAAAAUAAAAUACAUUGUUCAUCUCUGGAGAAGCAAAGUCUUUAUCUGGUUGGGCCCCUUAUCUGUUCACUUUGGAUUCAGAUAAAAAUUAUUUUUCUAACAGGUAUGAGUGUCCAAUAAAUUUCUACCCUUAGAAAUCCUGUUUCCUUUCUUCGUUGUUCUCCCUUCUGUGAUUUUUACCCGCCCCUCUUUUUCCCUAGCACACAAGCCCCUGGUGGAAAACCAUCUGGUUUUAUACAUUAUCAGAUAAGACAUUACCCUCAUCUAUGAUCAACUUUAGUCCACAAAAAUUUUGGUGAGAAGGAAAGUUUUACCGCAAACAGACGUUACUAAAGAGAAGAGAGCCAAAAGGUCACAUAAAUAUCAGUCCAACAAUGCAACUUGAAUAGGUAUAGGGAAAAGUGAAAAUCAAAAACAAAUGAUGCAAGAGAGAAAGGAUGAUGAAGUGAAGUGAGUAUUGAUAUAUUAGUACUGAAAAAAGUUUACAGACUUCUGCUUCCUUUACCAGUCAACUGACCUAUAACACAGCACUGAGCAAAGUCUACCCUUAACUUCCUGAACCUAGGCAAGCCAUCAAGAAAGACUCACUCCUAACCACCUGAGGGCCCCAAUUAGUCAUCUAAAAAUUAAGAGAAUAAAUUGAGGAUUUAUUGACUUGAGUUCCACAGAAUUCUGUAAGAUCCAUAUAUGGAAUUCAGUGUUAUAUAUCUUAAAAUUUUAACAAAAACCAGAUAUAUAUAUAUGUAUGUACAUUUUUCUAUUACACACAAAAUCCAUAUACACAAAGAUAUUGCUAGAUAUACAUAUAUAUAUACACACACAUUCAUUAUUAUUAUUUUUGGAAAAGAAUCUGGAUUUUUUAUUAGCUUCUCAAAAAAGGUUAUUUACAUCAAAAAGUAAGAACAAAGAGAACUAGAAAGAGGUGUCAUUAUAAAUACUUAAUUUAAGGGGGGAACUGUCAAUAAGAAAGCAUGCCCCUUGGUGGGAUGUGGAGCAAGGCCCCAAUCUCAGGUGAGAGAAACCAAAAUGUCCAAGUAAAAAGAUGAGCCUCCUAAAAUCUCUAAAUUGAGAGUCUGAACAAUGACUUAGAAGUAGAGACUAAGGUAGACCAGUCCCUAUAACUGGGCCAAUGUGUGGGGGAAAACGAGGGAAGAAGUACAGCUAAUGAGUACGACAGCAUCCCAGGGUUCAUCCUGAGAACCAAAUUUCUGACCUGAGGAGAUCUGCAGAAGCUCAACAUACACAGAGUUGCUCCAGAUUUUAUGUUUAUGAAAGUAUAUAAAUUCUAAUCCCCUCUGGAUUCUUAAAAGCAACUAUUAUCAUUUGGUAAACUUUCUUCCAAAGGCAAUGGGAAUGAGUGAGCCUGUAAGGACCUGUGGUUGGAGGGGUGAGGCAAGCUUGGGAAAUGAAGUAGACUUAACACAAUGGAACAGAAACCUUCAAGACCUUGAGCGUUGGGUUCCUGUGUUUUAUUUCUUAGCAUUUUCUGAAAAAAAAAUACAUCCUACUUGAUGUAUUUCAAGUUCAUGCACUUUUCCUAAACCUUUACCAUCUAAAUAUAGCAAUAAACUCCAGCUCUUCAAAGAUAAACACCGAUACGGUGAUCAAAGAAGUGGCCAUUCUAAAAGGACUUUAAUCAGUAGUAUGUCGGAUGGAAAAGAACAGAAUUUUAAAUAACUAAACCAAUGUUCUCUUUAAAACAGAAAGAAUAUCUUUAAUUCCAAAGGAACAAAAGAAGGAAAAAUAUCCAGAAUGGAGCUUUUAUGAUUGACUUCUCACAAUUUUCUGCUACUAACAAUUUCACAUUAUUGAUGUCUUCAUUAGCCUAAAUAUAAAGGGUACCAGCAAAGAAUACAAAGCUUUAUUUUGAAUGUAGCCCAAAGCCCAUUAGUUUAAAAGUGUCAAUGUUUUAUGGUUUUAAGAAACCAUAUAAAUUGCACUUAUUUAUGUAAGUUCAUUUUCCAAAUGUGUGAACACAAAUGUCCAUUGUCUAUGAGGAAAGUUCAUGCUGAGCUACAAGUGAAUCGUACAAUUGAGCUCUCAGCUAAGUGGCAGCCUCUGCCAAGCUAGCCAUUUUGGUAAGUGGCCCUAAAUUUGAUACAGGGAAAAUAAUUUUUUAUUGUUUUCCCAGGGGAGAAAGCUCUUUUCAAAGAGCACAGACCAGCAAUGAUUUUUUUUUUAAUUCUUGUUGACACUACUAUUUUUUAUACUACAAAAAAAUCUAAGACUGCGUUUUUUAACUUCCUUUUGUUAACUGUGCAAAAGACCUACUGACCUGUGUCUUUAAAGCCCUGACUUACUUUGCUCUAGAUAUCAUUAAAAUUUUUCUCCAUUCUCUGCUCAGCAAUUUCUCCUUUCUAAAGCAGCAUGCUAGUUCACUGUUUGUAUUCCCAAAGAAAUACACAGGGAGACCAGCCCCACAAUUUCAGCCUAUUCCUUGGAAUUAGUGUGAAGGCUAACUUCUUCUGUCUUCUUAGUCAUUUAGUAUCUUUCAAAAUUAUUUUAGGUACAACAUAGCCUUAGAGAAGCUAUUCAAAUUGGUGAAUAACCUUUUGAUUUAUUCCCUCAUUAAAAAUGACAGCUAGCAGGAGGGAUCCUUGUGAUAGAAGUGUUCUGUAUCUUCACUGAGAUGGUGACCAGGUGAAUGUGCACAUGUAAUAAAACUGAACAGCUAAAUAUACACACACAUAAUACAUACAAAUGAGUCCAUGUAAAACUCAUGAAUCUAAAUAAGGCUGAUGUAUUAUAUUGAUGUCAAUCUCCCAGUUAUGAUACUGUAUUAUAUUUAUGCAAAAUGUUACCAUGAGGGGAAUCUGAGUGAAGGGAAUAUGGAUCUCUUUAUCUUAUCUUCUACAACCAAAUGUGAAUCCAAAAUUCUCAAAAUUUAAAAAAAUAACAAAUCGUUAACAAAUUGUACAUUUGGGGAUUUUUUAAUUUCAUCACCAAAAAAAGGUUACUUUAGAAAUAUUUAAAAGACAAUAAAAGUGUGCAAUAUAAGUAGUAACAAUCACCUUUGCUCUGUCUUUUCCUGAUAAAUGAUUAUGAUUUGUCACUACCAGUAAAAGGAGCACUGAGCUCCUUAGCAGAGCCAGUAUAUGUCAUUUUUAAUUUUCUGAUUUUAAAAAUGUAACCUGGUUUUGAUUAUGUGCCUCAGGUUGGCUGCAACAGGAUCUCCAGUUGGUUUGUGAGUUUUCCAGGGUAGACUCACCAAUCAUUCUAAUUUCAGUUGUGUGUUCAGACAUGCCCAUUCACAGCCAUGAUGGAAGGAGAUCCUACAUUCAUGUUACAGACUCUACCUCUCACAAACACAAAUGGUUACAGAAAAACACCUUAGAAGUGAAUGUCUUCCUUAGAUAUUAAAGAGAAAUAUGCUUUAAUGUUUUCAUUUUGUUAAAACUAAUUCUUGUGGCCUGUAUCAUGUAAAUGGGAGAAAUGAAUGAGUUCAGCUAAAAAGAAUUAAGUUGUCAGCUAAAUUUUCUAGCAUUGCAGUUUGAUCCCACUUUAAUACUACAGAAUGAAAGUGCUUUAAAAAUUUUUAUAACCUAGUUUCUGCCACCCUGUCUCUACAAUCUCCAAAGCUAUGCAAAUUAAGAGACACAAUCUCAUUUCAUUUUCAAACUUGAAAUAUAAGGAAGCUUAGUUUCCUUAAAAGUAAUCUCCCCCUUCCACAAAUUUUGACACCUUCCAAAAGCAUGGCUGAGAAGGUUUGGCUUCAAACUCCUAAAUACGCUCAAUCAGAAUUAUCUAAGACUCAAAGAAAAAAAGAAUUGCAGGCUGAGUCUAAUUUUCUUCUUUUACAAAGUUAGACAUGCAUACCAGAAAACAUCACAAAACUAUAAAUUCAAGCAAAAUAACCAGCACUUGCACCUGCAAGAGAACUAGUAAUUUCUUAAAAUGCACUUCAUAGGUAAAGUAAUCCAAGCAGACUCUUAUGCAAAGUACCAGUUCUAAUAC